AGCUGGGCUCCAGAGUGCCGCUCCUUAUCAGCAAGGUCCCUCUGCGCUGGGGACGCUGCUACCCACAUUCCCCUCCCACACACGCUCGCCCUCACCCCAGGCCCCCACACUGUUCCCCCAGCAGCCACUGGGCAUAGGCAAGGAGAGCUGGGAGCAGCCAUUCUGCUUCGCGGGCCAGUGGAGAGAGAGAGGGCUCUUCUGGCCAGCCCCAUGAGGGAGACCCAAGCCACAGGCCUCAGACCACUCAGCCACGGCCACCCCUCGGCCCACUUUCUGGCUCGCCAAGUAGGCAUAAAGAUUCCCCAAGGCUCCAUCUUCAAGGUGACCCUGUUUUCUCACCCAAACUGCUGCCUACAAGUAUGGCUCGGAUCGGGAUCCUGCCUAGGCCCCUCCCUCUGACAAGAAACAUGUGGGCUGCUUUCCCUGCUUCAGACGGAGAUCAGGGUACGAGGGCUGAGGGGGACUCUCCUAGCAUGCCUAAGAACCUAGAAGGUCCUGAGAUAUUCCAGAGUGCUCCCUCGUUGGCUACCAUGAUGGCACCAUGUUACUGA
RNAcentral lists this long non-coding RNA (551 nucleotides) under Monodelphis domestica (gray short-tailed opossum). RNAcentral's name for it is "lncRNA (ENSMODG00000032590.2)". Lineage: Eukaryota; Metazoa; Chordata; Mammalia; Didelphimorphia; Didelphidae. The record is from RNAcentral.